Long non-coding RNA from Myotis brandtii (Brandt's bat), 106 nucleotides. RefSeq lists it as uncharacterized. The transcript is spliced from 3 exons. NCBI's taxonomy places the organism in Eukaryota, Metazoa, Chordata, Mammalia, Chiroptera, Vespertilionidae. The record is from RefSeq and is a predicted model, not a curated record.
GAAGGAAUGACAUGGAGGCAGUGUUCAGUUGAUCAGCAUAGCAAGGUUCUCCCGCCAGAUUCUGUAGCCAUGUUCUCUCACUAGGUUCUCCAGCCAAGUUCUGUUG